AUACGGAGGGUCCAAGCGUUAUCCGGAAUCAUUGGGUUUAAAGGGUUCGCAGGCGGUUUAAUAAGUCAGUGGUGAAAUCUCGGGGCUCAACCUCGAAACUGCCAUUGAUACUGUUAGACUUGAAUACAGUUGGAGUAGGCGGAAUGUGUAGUGUAGCGGUGAAAUGCUUAGAUAUUACACAGAACACCGAUAGCGAAGGCAGCUUACUAAACUGUGAUUGACGCUCAUGAACGAAAGCGUGGGGAGCGAACAGGAUUAGAAACCCCUGUAGUCC
RNAcentral lists this ribosomal RNA (274 nucleotides) under uncultured bacterium. Its description in RNAcentral is "partial 16S ribosomal RNA". It matches the Rfam family "Bacterial small subunit ribosomal RNA", at positions 523 to 796 of the family's 1533-position model. The record is from RNAcentral.